UUGACUGUGCUAAGGUAGCGUAAUGAUUUUUUUUUUAAUUGGAAGGUUGGAUGAAAGGGUUAACGAGGCUAAGGCUUUACCGACGUUAUUUUUUAAUUUUCUAGAGUAGUAAAAAAGCUGCUGCGGUUCAAAGGGACGACAAGACCCUAAAAACUUUUACACGGAAUAUUAUUAAUAGUAGUGUGUUUUAGCUGGGGCGGCUAUGUUUAGUAAACAGACGUUGUAGGAACACAGUGUGUGAGUAUGAUGACCUUUGAUUAGAUAUUGAGAUAAGUUACUUUAGGGAUAACAGCACUAUAUUUUUGUAGAGUUCUUAUCGAUAAAAGUGUUUGUGACCUCG
RNAcentral lists this ribosomal RNA (340 nucleotides) under Sphaeromides bureschi. Its description in RNAcentral is "partial 16S ribosomal RNA". It matches the Rfam family "Bacterial large subunit ribosomal RNA", at positions 1942 to 2528 of the family's 2925-position model. The record is from RNAcentral. Lineage: Eukaryota; Metazoa; Arthropoda; Malacostraca; Isopoda; Cirolanidae.